Sinocyclocheilus anshuiensis is the source of this 499-nucleotide long non-coding RNA. RefSeq lists it as uncharacterized. The transcript has 4 exons. The record is from RefSeq and is a predicted model, not a curated record. Lineage: Eukaryota; Metazoa; Chordata; Actinopteri; Cypriniformes; Cyprinidae.
UCCAGUCGAUGGGCGGAGAGAAGCGAGUGACGCACUUCCUGUCUCUUUUAAACCCCAGUAGCGAAGCUUUCCCCCCUUUUACUUUCUCCAAGAAGAAGCAGAGGCAGUUGGAGCAGUCGACACCCAACUCUUAUUAUAUCACUGACAGAGUUACAGUCCGCUACCAUGACUUACCAAGAAUGCAUAUCAGACGGGCUGCAGGACACAGGAUAAGGGCCGCUCGCUCUCACUGGGGUCCGUGCAUCAGCUGAGAGCAUGAGGGAAGGUGCCCAUUAAAUGAAAAUGCAUUUAACAUGUAGGAGGCGGCUGUUACCUGUCCAUCAGGUACUGCAUUAGCAUACGAGUUUGCAGCAUAAAGCCAAUAUGAAAUGAAAAUUUGAAUGGCAUGCAAAGAAAAUAAGAAUGCAAAGGAUUGUAAGUGUUUCCACAGGCAAAACUAUAAAUCCAGAUGGCAUGCUGGAUCAACCCGAGCUGAUGGAAAAAUAACAGUGGAGGGCCG